AUGCUGAGACAGAUGCACAGAUUCUCUCCUCUCCAGCCUUCAGUGCCUGGGCCCCAACCUUCAGCCGUGUCUGCACAGUGGCCUAGCAGUGUCUGCCUCCUCUGGCUUGGCGGGUGCUUGUGCUGUGUGUCACCCUUUCUGUUCCACACACACACACACAUCACACACACCAGCUGUGUGACUCCACAGUGGGGGAGGACAGAAGGGACCCCUGGGCAGAGACAGCUGUCUGACUUACCAUCUCCUUUGCAGAGCACCUGUGGGCCACUUUGCAGCCACAAAUUCAGACCAAGGCCUCCCCAUUUAUCAUCUAGCCUGCCAACCUCUGUCAGCCACCAAGUUUGCAGGUGUUCAAGUUCCUGGACACUAGCAUGACUCAGUGCAGGACCCCAAAACCCAAGGGUCACGAGUCUUCAGGACCCUGAGCUCUGCCUUCGCUAGCUCAUUGCUGAACCUGGUGGGAUCACAGCCCACGGGAUCAAAUAGCAUGAGCUACAUCUGCCAAUAUUAAUAGCUCCAGAGCCUGGCUGCCUGGGCUGCCGCAGCCUGAGCUGAAACACAAUUUGAGGAACUGUUGUUGACUUGGCUCUGUUUCCAUUUAGGAAGGCGGCUGGGAGGGACAUGGGAAAGGUUGGGACAGCGAGCGAGCAGGGAUUAUGGUGGAAGAAAUAGGGGAGGGGAGGGGACCCCCCUGACUUCUUACAGCUUCUCAUUCUGUGUCCUGAGAACCCAGGAGCAUAGCUUGAAGACUGGAUGUCACUCCAGGGAGCUGUUGAUGUCAGUGCAUGUGCCUAGCCCUCUGGGACCCUGGGUGACCUGCGCAUUGGGUUAUACUGGGUCUGAUCUGAGACCAGGCCUCCCCUCCUGCUCCAACCAUGCUACUUGGCUUGCCCCAGGCUGACCAAUGCCUGAGUGCCAAGCCUCCCAUCAGGAUGAGGACAGCUUCCCUCCUUCCUUCCUCCUUCCCUCUGCCAGCCUUUCCUACCCUGACUUUGCAUGAUGGGUACCUGCAGGUGUCAUCAUCCUAGGGACAGACCAGGAGAACCUGAGCUGGGCCAUGUGCCCCAGCCUAUUCCUCCAGAGAGUACCAGGGACAAGCUCUUCCCAGCUCAGCACCCAGGGCAGAACCCUGGAGCCCUUCUCUUGAGCUGUCACAUGUGACUCUUGACGAUGUCACAGACCCCUGAUGCCUUAUUGACAGAUUCAGUCCUGGGGUUUCUGGGGGCAGGGGAGACUGGUGCAAUGGCUGCUUAGUAAGGGGGCUAAGGUUAUAGAACCAGAAGAUUUCAUCCCUGGGUAGAAGGUUCCAGAAACCCUGAAACCUUCGGGAAAUGGAGAUGAAGACAUAAACAACAGAGAGCUGCCAGGCGUGGUG
This 1375-nucleotide long non-coding RNA is filed under the name Mus spicilegus (steppe mouse). Its description in RNAcentral is "lncRNA (ENSMSIG00000010128.1)". The record is from RNAcentral. Lineage: Eukaryota; Metazoa; Chordata; Mammalia; Rodentia; Muridae.